CUGAGUGGCUUUCCAAAGAAACCUGUAUUGUGUAAUUCAUGUGUAAGGUGAUCAGUAGUCUACAACCUCUGUAAUAGGCCAUUAUUUUGAGUACUGACCAAAUUGUAUCAUUAAGGAAAAGCUUUCAAGAACCAUACUCCAAGAGAGACUUAGGUUUAUGUGUUGAUACCUGUCCUGUUCCUGUACACCUAAAAUCAUCAUUGCAGAGAAAGAGCACAGUUUGGCCUUAAACUUGGGGGAAUUAAUAUAAGUCAGGUGCCUAGCACUGAAUAUAUCAAAACUCCUGUCUGAAUCAGUACCACAAUUGUCUGGUAAACAUCUUCAUGUAUGAGUGUAUGUAUGCAUUUGGAAUGUCAUAGCUAGGGUCAAAAGUGAGACCUUAUUGUCUUCAAGAGUCAUGAUGACUGAAAGUCAUGAUCAAGAGGAUUAUUAUAAAGACAAACUCAUCAUAGGUGAAGGUGAAAUUCUGGGGUAGGAUUGUCAGAACAUGUUGGAACUCAUUACUUUUCUCUAGGCAUUUUAUUUGGGGCUUGAGACAAGGAAUUCUUGAAAGAAACUCAUGUUACCCAAUCCUGUCUAUGCGCUCAAAAGUGAAAAAUAAAUGUUCCUUCUAUAAACUUUGUUUCAGGGAUUUAUAAUUCUUAAGAGCUGGGAACAUUCAAGAUUCAGUCCUUCCCUGUUUUUCUCCUAAUGUGUCUUUGAGUAAGACAUCUUACCAAGGGUUGAAACACUGCAUUGAUAGUAUAUUUCUGGUUUUCUUUGGUCACAGAUAUAUGCCAAAAAGCAAUUGACUGGAGAAGAUGCUCUUCUAGGGCAUACAAGUUUACACAUUGGAACACAUCCUCAGAUGAAGACUCCCCGCCCCCACAUGCACAUAUGUCAGCUUGGCUCCAGGAAUAGGCACAAACUCAUGUGGCACCCGGGUUUCCUGCUUUCCAGAAACCAUCUCUGUGGGAUUUCAUGACCAGGAUCUCAUCAUUGACUCCACCAUGUGAGACAAUUUAGAUGGUGCCUUGCCCAAAGAAGAUCAGAGCUCCUCUUCCAUACACACUCUUGCCAAUAAAGUUCACAUCUUUGGAAACCAGGAAGCAUCUCUCCAUAAGGCCCCACUGGACUGAUGGUCAGGAAGAAAUGAGUGGACACUGCAGAGGACAUCUAUAUAUCCUUGUUAGGAGAUGGUGAUGUUGAUGGAGUGCACACCAGGCCAUUGAACAUGCCAGGUAUUUUCUGUGGGUCUCCAUAUGGAAGCAUCUGGGGAGGAGUUUUGCCUGCCAGGUAACUGUUGGUCAGCUCCCCAGAGGUCCACUAAAAUUCUUGCUGAGGAGGAAUUAUAUUCCAUGGUUCAAUGGGCUUUGAUUACCAUGUCUUAUACAGACCUGGGCAAUCCCAGGAUGCCAAGCCCACCCAUUCCUCAAAAACCAAAGGCCAAGCCUACCAGCCAUUGCUUAUGAUGCUGCAUGCAACAUGGUCGAAAAAAACUGACCCAUUCAUUUGGAGAGAAUGUGUAGCAAGAAUGCUGCCUAGUGGUGCAUGUGCAAUGCUCAGACACAUGUUGGGGCCAGUUUUCCCAAGAUAGCAUAUACACAUACAGGCUGAGGGCUUUGGGUGCCAAGCUGCAGCACUCCCGCCACCCCUCAAUCCUUGCUGGAAUCGUGAGUCAGUCCCCAUGAAUUCGAGUAUCAUGCACAUGGCCCACCAGGUCAGGGCCAAAGGGGAAGGGUAUUGUCAUAGCUUCCCUACCUUUCUCUAUACAGACCCCAUGCCCAAAGAUUCCACCUGGCAUAUGGUGGGAAAUUGGCCCAAUAUGGGAAUAGGCCCUGAGCCAGGUGCCCAAAUGGCCAACCUGUGCUUCAUAAACGAUCUCUUGUAAGUUGAGCUGGCGGAAAGAAGACAGAGGCUCGUGGGGACUGCCUUGGUUGGGUAAAUGAUGAGAACUCAUAUGGUCUUGAACAGAGAUGAUGACAUAAAAAUCAUGCUCAAUCAGAUUACACUGAGACCCAAUCGAAGAGACAAUCAUGGGGUGGGAUCCAGGAGACCAUGGGGCACUUGGAAAUUGCAGGCAAAUUAGGAUUGAGGUGACCAAUCCCUCAAGGCCCCCAGUGUGGCUCUCCCCAGGCUUGGGGGCUUGAAUGUGACCAAAUUGGGCUCGUGCAAUGGUGAUUUGUGUGCUCGUAACUAGUUACUCUGGAUACAUCUCAUUUGCAGCCUUGGAUUAGCUCCCUUGAUGUCCAUGUGUCUUUCAGUGGAACAUCAUCGUGACUGGGUCUCGAGGCAGCACCAAUAAGAAGAGGUGAGUGCAUCCCUGUGCUCAUACACUGAGGCAAGGGAUUGCGUGGUCC
Leopardus geoffroyi (Geoffroy's cat) is the source of this 2339-nucleotide long non-coding RNA. RefSeq lists it as uncharacterized. NCBI's taxonomy places the organism in Eukaryota, Metazoa, Chordata, Mammalia, Carnivora, Felidae. The record is from RefSeq and is a predicted model, not a curated record. The transcript has 4 exons.